CCUACGGGCGGCAGCAGUGAGGAAUAUUGGUCAAUGGACGAGAGUCUGAACCAGCCAAGUAGCGUGAAGGAUGACUGCCCUAUGGGUUGUAAACUUCUUUUAUAUGGGAAUAAAAUGUUCCACGUGUGGGAUUUUGUAUGUACCAUAUGAAUAAGGAUCGGCUAACUCCGUGCCAGCAGCCGCGGUAAUACGGAGGAUCCGAGCGUUAUCCGGAUUGAUUGGGUUUAAAGGGAGCGUAGGUGGAUUGUUAAGUCAGUUGUGAAAGUUUGCGGCUCAACCGUAAAAUUGCAGUUGAAACUGGCAGUCUUGAGUACAGGAGAGGUGGGCGGAAUUCGUGGUGUAGCGGUGAAAUGCUUAGAUAUCACGAAGAACUCCGAUUGCGAAGGCAGCUCACUGGACUGCAACUGACACUGAGGCUCGAAAGUGUGGGUAUCAAACAGGAUUAGAUACCCUGGUAGUC
Molecule: ribosomal RNA, 460 nt
Filed under: uncultured bacterium
Lineage: Bacteria
Description: partial 16S ribosomal RNA
Rfam family: Bacterial small subunit ribosomal RNA
Source: RNAcentral